Molecule: ribosomal RNA, 253 nt
Filed under: uncultured bacterium
Lineage: Bacteria
Description: partial 16S ribosomal RNA
Rfam family: Bacterial small subunit ribosomal RNA
Source: RNAcentral
UACGAAGGGGGCUAGCGUUGCUCGGAAUCACUGGGCGUAAAGGGUGCGUAGGCGGGUCUUUAAGUCAGGGGUGAAAUCCUGGAGCUCAACUCCAGAACUGCCUUUGAUACUGAGGAUCUUGAGUUCGGGAGAGGUGAGUGGAACUGCGAGUGUAGAGGUGAAAUUCGUAGAUAUUCGGAAGAACACCAGUGGCGAAGGCGACACACUGGCCCGAUACUGACGCUGAGGCGCGAAAGCGUGGGGAGCAAACAGG